GCCAUGUUGGUGUGCUGCGUGCCUGUAGUCCCAGCUACUAGGGAGGCUGAGGCUGGAGGAUGGCUUGAGUCCAGGAGUUCCGGGCUGUAGUGCGCUAUGCCCAUCGGGUGUCCGCACUAAGUUCGGCAUCAAUAUGGUGACCUCCCGGGAGCGGGGGACCACCAGGUUGCCUAAGGAGGGGUGAACCGGCCCAGGUCGGAAACGGAGCAGGUCAAAACUCCCGUGCUGAUCUCUACAGAAUAUUUUAUAAAAUUGCCACUCAAUUUGAAUGUCACUGCUAUCAU
Molecule: signal recognition particle RNA, 284 nt
Filed under: Colobus angolensis palliatus
Lineage: Eukaryota; Metazoa; Chordata; Mammalia; Primates; Cercopithecidae
Description: Metazoan signal recognition particle RNA (ENSCANG00000007587.1)
Rfam family: Metazoan signal recognition particle RNA
About the family: The signal recognition particle (SRP) is a universally conserved ribonucleoprotein.
Source: Rfam by way of RNAcentral